RNAcentral lists this microRNA precursor (196 nucleotides) under Oryza punctata. Its description in RNAcentral is "MIR812 microRNA precursor family". It matches the Rfam family "MIR812 microRNA precursor family". The record is from Rfam by way of RNAcentral. Lineage: Eukaryota; Viridiplantae; Streptophyta; Magnoliopsida; Poales; Poaceae.
AAUCAACGAAGUUUUUGUAUUUUUUUUAUCUCGUUCGUCUUAUUUAAAUUUUAUUAUGAUUGAUAUUUUUAUUGUUACUAUAUGAUAAAAAAUGAACGUAUUUUAAGCGUAACUAAUUUUUGUUAAUUUUUUAAUAAUUUUUUAAAUAAAAUGAAUGAUCAAACGUUAGACACGAAAACCUACGACUGCACGUAAA